AAGAUCACCAGAACAUUUAGACAUUUUUAAGAAUUUGGAUGACAAUUUUGAUGAAGAGUGGUCAUAGAUUUCUCAAAUGCAUAAGAGAUUGGCACCUUUCAGAGAUAGGUCGAUCAACAAACGGCAGAGGAUGCUGCAAGUGACAACUGGUGCUGCUGCCUUUAAAGGCAAAUUAUUGGCUUUUAAUUAGGAUAUAAGCCACCAAGUUGCUACUUAUAUGAGGGAUCCCAGUAGAAUGAUCAAGCAAAUGAGGCUGAGAACAUCUACUGUUAGUAUAUUUGGAAAUGUAAGUCAGUGUUGU
This is a long non-coding RNA of Neltuma alba, 301 nucleotides long. RefSeq lists it as uncharacterized. The transcript is spliced from 3 exons. NCBI's taxonomy places the organism in Eukaryota, Viridiplantae, Streptophyta, Magnoliopsida, Fabales, Fabaceae. The record is from RefSeq and is a predicted model, not a curated record.